This 211-nucleotide long non-coding RNA is filed under the name Lathyrus oleraceus (garden pea). Its description in RNAcentral is "Pisum sativum (pea) long non-coding RNA (PSAT_LNC017335)". The record is from RNAcentral. Lineage: Eukaryota; Viridiplantae; Streptophyta; Magnoliopsida; Fabales; Fabaceae.
AAGAUAAUAUCUGUCACUGAUUAGGAUGAACAUAUCAAGGAUAAACUCAACAGGGGAAAACAUCAUUUACAACUACCGGUUAAUGGGUAGUAGACCGCAAUGAGGUGAAAACCCGUCAUCGAUUAGGAUGAACAUAUCAAGGAUUAACUCUCUAGGGAAUGAAUUAGGGAUUACAACUACCUUUUUAAUAGGUAGAAAACCAAAAGAGAAG